Molecule: long non-coding RNA, 705 nt
Organism: Melospiza melodia melodia
Lineage: Eukaryota; Metazoa; Chordata; Aves; Passeriformes; Passerellidae
Exons: 4
Source: RefSeq, a predicted model, not a curated record
UCUUUGGGAAGCUCUGUGAACCCCUUUGUUUGUCAUGGCUGCUCCUGGGCAGUGAUGGCACAGGAGUGAGGGAGUCACUUCUGAGGCAGCUUCCCUAAAAGAAAGGUCAGCCACGAGGUCACUCCCUAUGGACCAGAGCUCAGCUCUGGUUUCUUUUGCAAUGCCCGUACCCCUCAGGAGCUGACUGCAAGCUCACACAGGUGAUGUUCCUUAAAUCCUUAACUCCCAGAAGGACAGAAUUGCAACAGAACCUCCACUUUCAGCUCACCUCAGCUCACCUCAUCUCAUCUCUUACCUGGGCCAGGACAAGUGCUGCCCAUCUCACCCUUCAUGGAGAACACUGGACAAGAGGAGUUGAGGCCACCAGCCUGUCUGCUGUGAGCUUCCCAGCUUGUCCACCUGGGAAUUGCAAAAUUCCAUGUACAGGACCUGGGCUGCCUUUCAGCAUCCUUGAGACUGGGGAGUGUGACAACCCAGUCUGCCCAGUGAUGGAAAGUUAGAAACUGGAAAUGUACCUGGAUGCCACCCUGAGUCAGCCCAAACCGAAGCAUCUCUACAAAACACCUAGAUGUGAACAAACUGCCAUCCUCUGACAAAAAUAUUCCGUCUGAGAAUUUCUGACCAGCUGCGGCGGUAAACACCUCCAGGGUGUCCUUUUUGUCUGAUACAGGGCAAAAAUUAUUCGGGUGCCUGUUGCUCGGGGUG